UAUUGGACCCAAUUGCCCGCGGCUAGAAGUUACGGAGUUGGGUAUUGAAAUCCCACCGCAUCACUGCCCGCCUCCCUCCCGCCCGCCAAGACACCAAUUAUCGACACUGCCCAUCAAAAUUCCUGUGUAUCAUUUUCUUAUUUGGUUUGAUUUAUUAAAUCAUGGAUAUUAACAAUGGUGAUGAAGAGCAAUUUGAGUUCUCAAGGAAUUACUUUCUUGCAAAAGAGUGUUCGGGUAAGAAAUCAACCUGCAAGAUUUCUGAUAUUGAUCUGAUUGAUGAACAGGAGCUGAUAGCAGCUGUAGCUAAUAUUGAACCGAAGCAUGAGAAAGAGACCAUUGCUCUUGUGAAUAGUUAUAAGAAGCUAUAUCCCCGAUGGGUUUUUUGAGCUCAGGUCAUUAUAGCCUUAGCUAAAGUUUGGUGGGAUCAGUUGAAAACUAGACAAAGGACUUCAUCGAGGAUUUUACCUAAAGUUCAACAGCCAUUCAAUUCUCGAUCGGUGGACGAUCUUCUUGCAUUUUUGGAUAAAUCAGAGGCAGAGGAAAAUGAUUCUUUUAUAUGUGUUGUUAUUCAUAACAUUGAUGGGCCUGGGUUAAGAGACUCUGAAAGCCAACAGUAUCUCACACGAAUUGCUUCUUGUUCGAAUAUUCGUACCAUUGCCAACACCUCUCUGUAAGUGUUUUCUUUUCAUUGUCUGUUAUUUGUGGACAAGAUGUUGGUUAUGUUUAGCAUGUUGUUACUUGCCUAUAGCACUUCUAAUUUUGGUUAAAACCUUCUUAGCAUUUCUAUUGCUGUUGCUAUGGCCUUUUAGACCAAAACUGAAAUUAUUUUUUGAUUAAACAUGUUUAUUACUAGUGCAACUUUUUGCUUUAUUUUUCUCCAAAUGCUUCAAUAGAAUGGAACUUAGGUGGCUC
Hevea brasiliensis (rubber tree) is the source of this 912-nucleotide long non-coding RNA. RefSeq lists it as uncharacterized. The transcript has 3 exons. Lineage: Eukaryota; Viridiplantae; Streptophyta; Magnoliopsida; Malpighiales; Euphorbiaceae. The record is from RefSeq and is a predicted model, not a curated record.